UACGAAGGGUGCAAACGUUGCUCGGAAUUACUGGGCGUAAAGCGUGCGCAGGCGGUUUUGUAAGUCUGUCGUGAAAUCCCCGGGCUCAACCUGGGAAUUGCGAUGGAGACUGCAAGGCUAGAAUCUGGCAGAGGGGGGUAGAAUUCCACGUGUGAGCAGUUGAAAUGCGUAGAGAUGUGGAGGAACACCGAUGGCGAAGGCAGCCCCCUGGGUCAAGAUUGACGCUCCAUGCACGAAAGCGUGGGGAGCAAACAGG
RNAcentral lists this ribosomal RNA (256 nucleotides) under uncultured bacterium. RNAcentral describes it as "partial 16S ribosomal RNA". It matches the Rfam family "Bacterial small subunit ribosomal RNA", at positions 524 to 776 of the family's 1533-position model. The record is from RNAcentral.